Molecule: ribosomal RNA, 253 nt
Filed under: uncultured bacterium
Lineage: Bacteria
Description: partial 16S ribosomal RNA
Rfam family: Bacterial small subunit ribosomal RNA
Source: RNAcentral
UACAGAGGUCUCAAGCGUUGUUCGGAUUCAUUGGGCGUAAAGGGCGCGUAGGCGGCGGGGUAAGUCGAGUGUGAAAUCUCAGAGCUCAACUCUGAAACUGCACUCGAUACUGCUCUGCUUGAGGACUGGAGAGGAGACUGGAAUUCACGGUGUAGCAGUGAAAUGCGUAGAUAUCGUGAGGAAGACCAGUGGCGAAGGCGGGUCUCUGGACAGUUCCUGACGCUGAGGCGCGAAGGCCAGGGGAGCAAACGGG